AUGUGGUUAAUUCGAAGCAACGCGAAGAACCUUACCAGGUCUUGACAUCCCGAUGCUAUUUCUAGAGAUAGAAAGUUACUUCGGUACAUCGGUGACAGGUGGUGCAUGGUUGUCGUCAGCUCGUGUCGUGAGAUGUUGGGUUAAGUCCCGCAACGAGCGCAACCCCUAUUGUUAGUUGCCAUCAUUCAGUUGGGCACUCUAGCGAGACUGCCGGUAAUAAACCGGAGGAAGGUGGGGAUGACGUCAAAUCAUCAUGCCCCUUAUGACCUGGGCUACACACGUGCUACAAUGGUUGGUACAACGAGUUGCGAGUCGGUGACGGCGAGCUAAUCUCUUAAAGCCAAUCUCAGUUCGGAUUGUAGGCUGCAACUCGCCUACAUGAAGUCGGAAUCGCUAGUAAUCGCGGAUCAGUACGCCGCGGUGAAUACGUUCCCGGGCCUU
RNAcentral lists this ribosomal RNA (441 nucleotides) under uncultured Streptococcus sp. RNAcentral describes it as "bacterial SSU rRNA". It matches the Rfam family "Bacterial small subunit ribosomal RNA", at positions 939 to 1382 of the family's 1533-position model. The record is from RNAcentral. Lineage: Bacteria; Bacillati; Bacillota; Bacilli; Lactobacillales; Streptococcaceae.